UACAGAGGUCCCAAGCGUUGUUCGGAUUCACUGGGCGUAAAGGGUGCGCAGGUGGGUUGGCAAGUUUGAUGUGAAAGCCCCGGGCUUAACCCGGGAAUGGCAUUGAAUACUGCUGAUCUGGAGGAUCGGAAGGGGGACUGGAAUUCUUGGUGUAGCAGUGAAAUGCGUAGAUAUCAAGAGGAACACCAGUGGCGAAGGCGAGUCCCUGGACGAUACCUGACACUGAGGCACGAAAGCCAAGGGAGCAAACAGG
RNAcentral lists this ribosomal RNA (253 nucleotides) under uncultured bacterium. RNAcentral describes it as "partial 16S ribosomal RNA". It matches the Rfam family "Bacterial small subunit ribosomal RNA", at positions 524 to 776 of the family's 1533-position model. The record is from RNAcentral.